RNAcentral lists this ribosomal RNA (274 nucleotides) under uncultured bacterium. Its description in RNAcentral is "partial 16S ribosomal RNA". It matches the Rfam family "Bacterial small subunit ribosomal RNA", at positions 523 to 796 of the family's 1533-position model. The record is from RNAcentral.
AUACGGAGGGUGCAAGCGUUAUUCGGAAUUACUGGGCGUAAAGCGCACGCAGGCGGUUUAGUAAGUCUGAUGUGAAAGCCCACGACUCAAUCGUGGAAGUGCAUUGGAUACUGCUAGACUAGAGUAUAGGAGAGGUAAGCGGAAUUCCUGGUGUAGAGGUGAAAUUCGUAGAUAUCAGGAGGAACGACAGAGGCGAAGGCGGCUUACUGGACUAUCACUGACGCUGAGGUGCGAAAGCGUGGGGAGCAAACGGGAUUAGAAACCCCAGUAGUCC